RNAcentral lists this ribosomal RNA (497 nucleotides) under uncultured bacterium. RNAcentral's name for it is "bacterial SSU rRNA". It matches the Rfam family "Bacterial small subunit ribosomal RNA", at positions 349 to 863 of the family's 1533-position model. The record is from RNAcentral.
CAGCAGUGGGGAAUAUUGGACAAUGGACCAAAAGUCUGAUCCAGCAAUUCUGUGUGCACGAUGAAGGUCUUCGGAUUGUAAAGUGCUUUCAGGUGGGAAGAAGAAAGUGACGGUACCACCAGAAGAAGCGACGGCUAAAUACGUGCCAGCAGCCGCGGUAAUACGUAUGUCGCAAGCGUUAUCCGGAAUUAUUGGGCGUAAAGCGAGUCUAGGCGGCUUGUUAAGUCAGAUGUGAAAAUGCGGGGCUCAACUCCGUAUUGCGUUUGAAACUGGCAGGCUAGAGUACUGGAGAGGUGGGCGGAACUACAAGUGUAGAGGUGAAAUUCGUAGAUAUUUGUAGGAAUGCCGAUAGUGAAGACAGCUCACUGGACAGAUACUGACGCUAAAGCUCGAAAGCGUGGGGAGCGAACAGGAUUAGAUACCCUGGUAGUCCACGCCGUAAACGAUGUUCACUGGGUGUAGGGGGUCGAACCUCUGUGCCGAAGCUAACGCGAUAA